Molecule: small nuclear RNA, 107 nt
Organism: Otolemur garnettii (small-eared galago)
Lineage: Eukaryota; Metazoa; Chordata; Mammalia; Primates; Galagidae
Source: Ensembl
GUGCUUGCUUUGGCAGCAUAUAUACUAAAAUUGGAAUGAUGCAGAGAAGAUUACUAUGGCCCCUACGCAAAGAUGGCACACAAAUUCACGAAGCAUUCCAAAAAAAA